Molecule: ribosomal RNA, 478 nt
Filed under: uncultured bacterium
Lineage: Bacteria
Description: partial 16S ribosomal RNA
Rfam family: Bacterial small subunit ribosomal RNA
Source: RNAcentral
GACGAACGCUGGCGGCGUGCUUAACACAUGCAAGUCGAACGGUAAGGCCCUUCGGGGUACACGAGUGGCGAACGGGUGAGUAACACGUGGGUGAUCUGCCCUGCACUUCGGGAUAAGCCUGGGAAACUGGGUCUAAUACCGGAUAGGACUCCGGACUGCAUGGUCUGGGGUGGAAAGCUUUUGCGGUGUGGGAUGGGCCCGCGGCCUAUCAGCUUGUUGGUGGGGUGAUGGCCUACCAAGGCGACGACGGGUAGCCGGCCUGAGAGGGUGACCGGCCACACUGGGACUGAGGUACGGCCCAGACUCCUACGGGAGGCAGCAGUGGGGAAUAUUGCACAAUGGGCGCAAGCCUGAUGCAGCGACGCCGCGUGAGGGAUGACGGCCUUCGGGUUGUAAACCUCUUUCAGCUUCGACGAAGCGAAAGUGACGGUAGGUGCAGAAGAAGGACCGGCCAACUACGUGCCAGCAGCCGCAGUAA